GCCUUCUUAGCUCAGUUGGUAGAGCAGCUCACUCGUAAUGAGCAGGUCGUGGGUUCGAGUCCCAUGGAAGGCUCAA
Molecule: transfer RNA, 76 nt
Filed under: Bacteroidetes bacterium HGW-Bacteroidetes-1
Lineage: Bacteria; Pseudomonadati; Bacteroidota
Description: tRNA-Thr
Rfam family: tRNA
About the family: Transfer RNA (tRNA) molecules are approximately 80 nucleotides in length. Their secondary structure includes four short double-helical elements and three loops (D, anti-codon, and T loops).
Source: RNAcentral